GACGAACGCUGGCGGCGUGCUUAACACAUGCAAGUCGAACGGAAAGGCCCUGCUUUUGUGGGGUGCUCGAGUGGCGAACGGGUGAGUAACACGUGAGUAACCUGCCCUUGACUUUGGGAUAACUUCAGGAAGCUGGGGCUAAUACCGGAUAGGAGCUCCUGCUGCAUGGUGGGGGUUGGAAAGUUUCGGCGGUUGGGGAUGGACUCGCGGCUUAUCAGCUUGUUGGUGGGGUAGUGGCUUACCAAGGCUUUGACGGGUAGCCGGCCUGAGAGGGUGACCGGCCACAUUGGGACUGAGAUACGGACCAGACUCCUACGGGAGGCAGCAGUGGGGAAUAUUGCACAAUGGGCGGAAGCCUGAUGCAGAAACGCCGCGUGCGGGAUGACGGCCUUCGGGUUGUAAACCGCUUUCGCCUGUGACGAAGCGUGAGUGACGGUAAUGGGUAAAGAAGCACCGGCUAACUACGUG
RNAcentral lists this ribosomal RNA (468 nucleotides) under uncultured bacterium. Its description in RNAcentral is "partial 16S ribosomal RNA". It matches the Rfam family "Bacterial small subunit ribosomal RNA", at positions 28 to 507 of the family's 1533-position model. The record is from RNAcentral.